RNAcentral lists this ribosomal RNA (491 nucleotides) under Thermomyces lanuginosus. RNAcentral describes it as "partial large subunit ribosomal RNA". The stretch from base 1 to 316 matches the Rfam family "Eukaryotic large subunit ribosomal RNA", at positions 39 to 358 of the family's 3401-position model. Lineage: Eukaryota; Fungi; Ascomycota; Eurotiomycetes; Eurotiales; Trichocomaceae. The record is from RNAcentral.
AAUCCUACGAGCGGAGGAAGAACCAACAGGGAGUCUGCCCCAGUAACGGCGAGUGAAGCGGCCAGAGCUCAAAUUUGAAAUCUGGCUCCUUCGGGAGUCCGAGUUGUAAUUUGGAGAGGAUGCUUCGGGUAUGGCCCCCGUCUAAGUGCCCUGGAACGGGCCGUCGGAGAGGGUGAGAACCCCGUCUGGGAUGGGAGGCCAGGCCCGUGUGAAGCUCCUUCGACGAGUCGAGUUGUUUGGGAAUGCAGCUCUAAGUGGGUGGAAAUUUCAUCUAAAGCUAAAUACUGGCCGGAACCGAUACAAUAUUAUAUUGAUCAAAGGGAAAGGUUUGGCAAGAUAGCAAAAGGGGCGCGCGCGCGCCAAAGGAAACGUGGCGGCCCACACCCCCCAGGGGGGGCUCCCCCCCCCCCGAUGCCCGUAACCCCGUCCCAGAGACGGGCCCCCCAUACUAAGGGGCCUCUCAAAAGGGACCGGAAAAGUCGACCACGAUU